RNAcentral lists this small nuclear RNA (104 nucleotides) under Aotus nancymaae (Ma's night monkey). The record is from RNAcentral. Lineage: Eukaryota; Metazoa; Chordata; Mammalia; Primates; Aotidae.
GUUCUUGCUUUGGCAACAUGUAUGAACACUGAAAAAACACAGAGAAGAUUAGCAUGGCCCCUCUGCAGGAUCACAUGCAAAUUUAUGAAACAUUCCAAAUAUAU